UUGCCAGACUCCUACGGGAGGCAGCAGUGGGGAAUAUUGCACAAUGGGCGAAAGCCUGAUGCAGCAACGCCGCGUGAAGGAAGAAGGGUUUCGGCUCGUAAACUUCUAUCAACAGGGACGAAAGAAAUGACGGUACCUGGAUAAGAAGCCCCGGCUAACUACGUGCCAGCAGCCGCGGUAAUACGUAGGGGGCAAGCGUUAUCCGGAUUUACUGGGUGUAAAGGGAGCGUAGGCGGAAUUGCAAGUCUGAUGUGAAAAUCCGGGGCCCAACCCCGGAACUGCAUUGGAAACUGUAUUUCUAGAGUGUCGGAGAGGCAAGUGGAAUUCCUGGUGUAGCGGUGAAAUGCGUAGAUAUCAGGAGGAACACCAGUGGCGAAGGCGGCUUGCUGGACGAUGACUGACGUUGAGGCUCGAAAGCGUGGGGAGCAAACAGGAUUAGAUACCCCAGUA
Molecule: ribosomal RNA, 450 nt
Filed under: uncultured bacterium
Lineage: Bacteria
Description: bacterial SSU rRNA
Rfam family: Bacterial small subunit ribosomal RNA
Source: RNAcentral